GCGGGUGUAGCUCAGCGGCGAGAGCAUCUGCUUGCCAUGCAGAAGGUCGGGGGUUCGAAUCCCCUCACCCGCUCCA
This 76-nucleotide transfer RNA is filed under the name Bacteroidetes bacterium QH_2_67_10. RNAcentral describes it as "tRNA-Gly". It matches the Rfam family "tRNA". Rfam says of the family: Transfer RNA (tRNA) molecules are approximately 80 nucleotides in length. Their secondary structure includes four short double-helical elements and three loops (D, anti-codon, and T loops). Further hydrogen bonds mediate the characteristic L-shaped molecular structure. tRNAs have two regions of fundamental functional importance: the anti-codon, which is responsible for specific mRNA codon recognition, and the 3' end, to which the tRNAs corresponding amino acid is attached (by aminoacyl-tRNA synthetases). tRNAs cope with the degeneracy of the genetic code in two manners: having more than one tRNA (with a specific anti-codon) for a particular amino acid; and 'wobble' base-pairing, i.e. permitting non-standard base-pairing at the 3rd anti-codon position. Lineage: Bacteria; Pseudomonadati; Bacteroidota. The record is from RNAcentral. RNAcentral also lists the same sequence under 3 other names.